RNAcentral lists this long non-coding RNA (856 nucleotides) under Pongo abelii (Sumatran orangutan). Its description in RNAcentral is "lincRNA". Lineage: Eukaryota; Metazoa; Chordata; Mammalia; Primates; Hominidae. The record is from RNAcentral.
AGAAAUUGAGAUUUGCUGAUGGAAGAAGCAGAAGAACAUGGGAACUGCGACUCAGCAUGCGGAAGUCAAUGCAAAAUCAUGCUGCCAUGUUCCGUGUGGGAAGCGUGUUGCAAGAAGGUUGUGGGAAAAUCAGCAAGCUCUACAGAGACCUGAAACACCUGCAGAUGUUUGACCGGGGAAUGGUCUGGAACACGGACCUGGUGGAGACCCUGGAGCUGCAGAACCUGAUGCUGUGUGUGCUGGAGACCAUCAAUGGAGCAGAGGCGCGGAAGGAGUCAUGGGGCGCGUACGCCAGGGAAGAAUACAAGGUGUGGAUUAAUGAGUACGAUCACUCCAAGCCCAUCCAGGGGCAGCAGAAGAAGCCCUUUGAGGAGCACUGGAGGAAGCACACCCUGUCCUAUGUGGACGUCAGCACUGGGAAGUGCACAGCCAGAGAACAACACAUCACACACAGGAAACAGUUGUGCUCAUGUGAUGGGGGCCUCAGCACUAGGAAGGAGUGGACUAUUGGCGCAUGUAGCAGCUUGAAUAAAUCUGAAAGUCACUACACUGCGUAAGAGAAGCCAAAUAAAAAAGUUCAUGCUGUGUACAGAGGGUGUUGAGAAUGCCUCCUACGUGACGGAAAGCAGAUCCGUGGUUCCCUGCAGACCGGCAGGAGCAGAUUCCAAAGGCACAGGAAGAAGCUUGCAGUACAAAGAUAAAAAUCUAAAGUGGUUGCUGUGGAGGACAGGGGUCAGUGGUGGAAGUGAGACUGAAAUGGACUCUGAAGUAAUAUCUGGACUUUGAAAUUGUUGCCUGUUCACUCUGGCUAGUCAUAUGCAGAAAACUGAAACUAGACCCCUUCCUGACACCUUAU